AUGCUGAUGUUUCAUGAAUUUUAUAUCGGGACUCUCGACAUGGUGUGCUUGAACUUUGGUGUCAUUACCCUGAUCCCCAAAAUAGUGGUCGAGAAUCCGGAUGGUGAAGAGCCCCGCGCCUCUCCCCCACACAGGCAGCACAUUUGUCGAAGUGGAGGCUGUCGUGGAACGUGGCCGGCGGGCUUCGAGCUAAGCCUGGCGCUCUUCGCCCUCGUCGGCGCCGUCUGCUACUACACCGGCACGCUCAUAGCGCUCUGCAUGCGCGCCGACGGCUCCGUCGCCACCUACCCGGACGUCGGCCAGCUGGCCUUCGGCGCCGCCGGCCGGAGAACCGUCGCCGUGUUCAUGUACGUGGAGCUCUACCUCGUCGCCAUCAGCUUCCUGGUCCUCGAGGGCGACAACCUCGACAAGCUCUUCCCCGGCGCCGGCGUGGAGCUGCUCGUCGCGUCUGCGGCCUUGACGGCGUCGCUUGUGUGGGCCGGCGUCUCUGAGUCCGGGUUCGGCGGGAGCGGCAACGUCCUCAACCUCGCCGGCCUGCCCACCUCCCUCGGCCUCUACUUCGUCUGCUUCACCGGCCACGCCGUCUUUCCCACGAUAUACUCGUCCAUGAAGAACCGCGAGCGCUUCUCCCAAGUGCUGCACUUCUCCUCGGUGCUCUGCAGCCUCAACUACGGGCUCACGGCGGUGCUGGACUACCUCAUCUACGGAGACAACGUGCAGUCGCAGGUGACGCUCGACCUGCCAUCAGGGAGGCUCUACACCAAGAUCGCCAUCGUCAUGACCCUCGUCAACCCGCUGACCAAGUACGCGCUGCUCGUCGCGCCCAUCACGUCGGCGAUCGAGGAGACGUUCUCGCUCGUGGGGAGUGGGUCGGCGAGGGUGGCCGUUAGCACCGCCCUUCUCGUGAGCACGGUCGCAGUGGCGUCCAUGGUGCCGUUCUUCGGGUUCCUCAUGUCCUUCAUCGGUUCCUUCCUCAGCGUCAUAGCCACAGUCUUCUUCCCCUGCCUCUGCUACCUCAAGAUCUACAGAGCCAAAGGCCUACGCCGGGUCGAGGUCGCGGCAAUCGUGGCCAUCCUGCUGCUAGGGGCGUUCGUUGCCAUCACUGGCACCUACACUUCUUUGUUGGACAUCAUAGGCACUUUCUGA
This 1146-nucleotide ribosomal RNA is filed under the name Triticum aestivum (bread wheat). Its description in RNAcentral is "partial small subunit ribosomal RNA". The record is from RNAcentral. Lineage: Eukaryota; Viridiplantae; Streptophyta; Magnoliopsida; Poales; Poaceae.